AAAGCUUGCUCUGCUGCACCUCGUGUCUGCUUUUCCUCCGAAAGUUCUUUACUCAAAGACUCAAUUCUUUCUUGAAGUUCUUUAAAAUCAACGGAUUCUCCAUCUCUUGAACCGAUUUCUUCUUCUCGUUCCGGCAUAUUCUCCACAUUUUGCUGAUUUUUCAUGCUUUCCAACUGAGACUUUAAGUAUUCAUUUUGAGAUUUCAUAUCGAUAACCAAUUGUACAAGCUCAUCAUGAUCGUCGGAGAAAUUUUGGCCAUCAGCAACCCUGUCUUCCACGACAACAUGGCCAUUGCCCUCAUGUUUCACGCCGGAUUCCACCUCCACAGACAUUGCCCCCUCUUCCACUCGGCUUUCUGGAGUUCCAUUAACAUCACCUUCCUCCGAAGACAUUGUUCCACUACUUAAUUCCAG
Molecule: unclassified non-coding RNA, 413 nt
Filed under: Hevea brasiliensis (rubber tree)
Lineage: Eukaryota; Viridiplantae; Streptophyta; Magnoliopsida; Malpighiales; Euphorbiaceae
Source: RNAcentral